AGUGAACGCUGGCGGUAGGUCUAACACAUGCAAGUCGAACGGCAGCACAGUAAGAGCUUGCUCUUACGGGUGGCGAGUGGCGGACGGGUGAGGAAUACAUCGGAAUCUACUUUUUCGUGGGGGAUAACGUAGGGAAACUUACGCUAAUACCGCAUACGACCUACGGGUGAAAGCAGGGGAUCUUCGGACCUUGCGCGAUUGAAUGAGCCGAUGUCGGAUUAGCUAGUUGGCGGGGUAAAGGUCCACCAAGGCGACGAUCCGUAGCUGGUCUGAGAGGAUGAUCAGCCACACUGGAACUGAGACACGGUCCAGACUCCUACGGGAGGCAGCAGUGGGGAAUAUUGGACAAUGGGCGCAAGCCUGAUCCAGCCAUACCGCGUGGGUGAAGAAGGCCUUCGGGUUGUAAAGCCCUUUUGUUGGGAAAGAAAAGCAGCAGGUUAAUACCCCGCUGUUCUGACGGUACCCAAAGAAUAAGCACCGGCUAACUUCGUG
This 492-nucleotide ribosomal RNA is filed under the name uncultured bacterium. Its description in RNAcentral is "partial 16S ribosomal RNA". It matches the Rfam family "Bacterial small subunit ribosomal RNA", at positions 29 to 507 of the family's 1533-position model. The record is from RNAcentral.